GAUGAAGAACGUAGCAAAAUGCGAUACUUGGUGUGAAUUGCAGAAUCCCGUGAACCAUCGAGUUUUUGAACGCAAGUUGCGCCCGAAGCCUUUUGGCCGAGGGCACGUCUGCCUGGGCGUCACGCAUCGCGUCGCCCCCCACAGCUCUCCGUAAAGGGAACUUGUGUUUUGGGGGCGGAUAUUGGUCUCCCGUGCUCAUGGCGUGGUUGGCCGAAAUAGGAGUCCCUCCGGUGGACGCACGAACUAGUGGUGGUCGUAAAAACCCUCGUCUUUUGUUUCGUGCCGUUAGUCGCGAGGGAAACUCUUUAAAAACCCAAAUGUGUCGUCUCUUGACGGCGCUUCGACCGCGACCCCAGGUCAGGCGGGACUACCCGCUGAGUUUAAGCAUAUCAAUAAGCGGAGGA
This 404-nucleotide unclassified non-coding RNA is filed under the name soil metagenome. Its description in RNAcentral is "partial contains 5.8S ribosomal RNA, internal transcribed spacer 2, and large subunit ribosomal RNA". The stretch from base 1 to 122 matches the Rfam family "5.8S ribosomal RNA", at positions 35 to 154 of the family's 154-position model. The record is from RNAcentral.